CGGCGGACGGGUGAGUAACGCGUGGAUAACCUGCCUCACACAGGGGGAUAACAGUUAGAAAUGACUGCUAAUACCGCAUAAGCGCACAGUACCGCAUGGUACAGUGUGAAAAACUCCGGUGGUGUGAGAUGGAUCCGCGUCUGAUUAGGUAGUUGGUGGGGUAACGGCCCGCCAAGCCGACGAUCAGUAGCCGACCUGAGAGGGUGACCGGCCACAUUGGGACUGAGACACGGCCCAAACUCCUACGGGAGGCAGCAUG
Molecule: ribosomal RNA, 259 nt
Filed under: uncultured bacterium
Lineage: Bacteria
Description: partial 16S ribosomal RNA
Rfam family: Bacterial small subunit ribosomal RNA
Source: RNAcentral